This 396-nucleotide ribosomal RNA is filed under the name uncultured bacterium. RNAcentral describes it as "partial 16S ribosomal RNA". It matches the Rfam family "Bacterial small subunit ribosomal RNA", at positions 360 to 773 of the family's 1533-position model. The record is from RNAcentral.
AAUAUUGGACAAUGGGCGCAAGCCUGAUCCAGCCAUGCCGCGUGAGUGAUGAAGGCCUUAGGUUUGUAAAGCUCUUUCAUUGGGUAAGAUAUUGACGGUACCCACUGAACAAGCCCCUGCUAACUUCGUGCCAUCAGCCGCGGUAAUACGAAGGGGGCUAGCGUUGUUCGGAUUUACUGGGCGUAAAGCGCACGUAGGCGGAUUGGUCAGUUAGGGGUGAAAGCCCAGAGCUCAAGUCUGGAAAUGGCCUUAAUACUGCCGGACUAGAGUCCGGAAGAGGUGAGUGGAACUCCUAGUGUAGAGGUGGAAUUCGUAGAUAUUAGGAAGAACACCAGUGGCGAAGGCGGCUCACUGGUCCGGUACUGACGCUGAGGUGCGAAAGCGUGGGGAGCAAAC